UACGGAGGGGGCGAGCGUUAUUCGGAAUCAUUGGGCGUAAAGGGCGCGUAGGCGGCCCCGUAAGUCUUGGGUGAAAGCCCUCGGCUCAACCGAGGAAUUGCCUUGGAUACUGCGGGGCUCGAGGCUGGAAGAGGGCAGUGGAAUUCCCGGUGUUGCGGUGAAAUGCGUAGAUAUCGGGAGGAACACCAGUGGCGAAGGCGGCUGCCUGGGCCAGUUCUGACGCUGAGGCGCGAAAGCGUGGGGAGCAAACAGG
Molecule: ribosomal RNA, 253 nt
Filed under: uncultured bacterium
Lineage: Bacteria
Description: partial 16S ribosomal RNA
Rfam family: Bacterial small subunit ribosomal RNA
Source: RNAcentral